CUGUACCUACGGGGGGCAGCAGUGGGGAAUAUUGCACAAUGGGGGAAACCCUGAUGCAGCGACGCCGCGUGAGCGAAGAAGUACCUCGGUAUGUAAAGCUCUAUCAGCAGGGAAGAAGAUGACGGUACCUGACCAAGAAGCUCCGGCUAAAUACGUGCCAGCAGCCGCGGUAAUAAGUAUGGAGCAAGCGUUAUCCGGAAUUACUGGGCGUAAAGCGCUCGUAGGCGGUAUGUCAAGUCAAGGGUGAAAUCCCCGCGCUCAACGUGGGAACUGCCUUUGAAA
This 282-nucleotide ribosomal RNA is filed under the name uncultured bacterium. Its description in RNAcentral is "partial 16S ribosomal RNA". It matches the Rfam family "Bacterial small subunit ribosomal RNA", at positions 333 to 632 of the family's 1533-position model. The record is from RNAcentral.